This 1033-nucleotide ribosomal RNA is filed under the name Biscogniauxia petrensis. Its description in RNAcentral is "SSU rRNA". It matches the Rfam family "Eukaryotic small subunit ribosomal RNA", at positions 68 to 1123 of the family's 1831-position model. The record is from RNAcentral. Lineage: Eukaryota; Fungi; Ascomycota; Sordariomycetes; Xylariales; Xylariaceae.
AGCAAUUAUACCGCGAAACUGCGAAUGGCUCAUUAAAUCAGUUAUCGUUUAUUUGAUAGUACUUUACUACUUGGAUAACCGUGGUAAUUCUAGAGCUAAUACAUGCUAAAAAWCCCGACUCACGGAGGGWUGUAUUUAUUAGAUUAAAAACCAAUGCCCUUCGGGGCUUCUUGGUGAUUCAUAAUAACUGGUCGAAUCGCAGGGCCUUGCGCCGGCGAUGGUUCAUUCAAAUUUCUGCCCUAUCAACUUUCGAUGGCAGGGUAUUGGCCUGCCAUGGUUACAACGGGUAACGGAGGGUUAGGGCUCGACCCCGGAGAAGGAGCCUGAGAAACGGCUACUACAUCCAAGGAAGGCAGCAGGCGCGCAAAUUACCCAAUCCCGACACGGGGAGGUAGUGACAAUAAAUACUGAUACAGGGCUCUUUGGGGUCUUGUAAUCGGAAUGAGUACAAUUUAAAUCCCUUAACGAGGAACAAUUGGAGGGCAAGUCUGGUGCCAGCAGCCGCGGUAAUUCCAGCUCCAAUAGCGUAUAUUAAAGUUGUUGCAGUUAAAAAGCUCGUAGUUGAACCUUGGGCCUGGCUGGCCGGUCCGCCUCACCGCGUGCACUGGUUCGGCCGGGCCUUUCCCUCUGGGGAACCCCAUGCCCUUCACUGGGUGUGGUGGGGAACCAGGACUUUUACUGUGAAAAAAUUAGAGUGUUCAAAGCAGGCCUAUGCUCGAAUACAUUAGCAUGGAAUAAUAGAAUAGGACGUGUGGUUCUAUUUUGUUGGUUUCUAGGACCGCCGUAAUGAUUAAUAGGGACAGUCGGGGGCAUCAGUAUUCAAUUGUCAGAGGUGAAAUUCUUGGAUUUAUUGAAGACUAACUACUGCGAAAGCAUUUGCCAAGGAUGUUUUCAUUAAUCAGGAACGAAAGUUAGGGGAUCGAAAACGAUCAGAUACCGUUGUAGUCUUAACCAUAAACUAUGCCGACUAGGGAUCGGAUGAUGUUAUUUUUUGACUCAUUCGGCACCUUACGAGAAAUCAAAGUCUUUGGGU